RNAcentral lists this ribosomal RNA (435 nucleotides) under uncultured organism. RNAcentral describes it as "bacterial SSU rRNA". It matches the Rfam family "Bacterial small subunit ribosomal RNA", at positions 346 to 794 of the family's 1533-position model. The record is from RNAcentral.
GUGCAGCAGGCGAGAAUAUUCGACAAUGGGCGAAAGCCUGAUCGAGGGAUGCCGCGUGCAGGAAGAAGGGCUUCGGCCUGUAAACUGCUUUUGUGUGGGAAGAACUCUGACGGUACCACAAGAAUAAGGGGUUGCUAACCUCGUGCCAGCAGCAGCGGUAAUACGAGGACCCCAAGCGUUAUCCGGAAUUACUGGGCGUAAAGCGUGAGCAGCCGGUUUUGCUAGUCUUAUGUUAAAUCUCACUGCUCAACGGUGAGACAGCGUGGGAAACGGCACAACUAGAGCGGGUAAGGGGCAGACGGAACGUGCAGUGUAGGGGUGAAAUCCAUUGAUAUUGCACGGAACACCAAAAAGCGAAAGCAGUCUGCUAGUGCUCUGCUGACGGUCAAUCACUAAAAGCGUGGGGAUCAAAAAAGGAUUAGAUACCCGCGUAGU